This 253-nucleotide unclassified non-coding RNA is filed under the name uncultured Cryomorphaceae bacterium. RNAcentral describes it as "contains 16S-23S intergenic spacer region". It matches the Rfam family "Bacterial small subunit ribosomal RNA", at positions 524 to 776 of the family's 1533-position model. Lineage: Bacteria; Pseudomonadati; Bacteroidota; Flavobacteriia; Flavobacteriales; Cryomorphaceae. The record is from RNAcentral.
UACGGAGGAUCCAAGCGUUAUCCGGAAUCAUUGGGUUUAAAGGGUCCGUAGGUGGGAGAAUAAGUCAGUGGUGAAAUCCUACAGCUUAACUGUAGAACUGCCAUUGAAACUGUUUUUCUUGAGUAUAGAUGAAGUGGGCGGAAUGUGUCAUGUAGCGGUGAAAUGCAUAGAUAUGACACAGAACACCGAUUGCGAAGGCAGCUCACUAAACUAUUACUGACACUGAGGGACGAAAGCGUGGGGAGCGAACAGG